RNAcentral lists this long non-coding RNA (183 nucleotides) under Polistes fuscatus (common paper wasp). Its description in RNAcentral is "uncharacterized LOC122524407". Lineage: Eukaryota; Metazoa; Arthropoda; Insecta; Hymenoptera; Vespidae. The record is from RNAcentral.
CAUGGAUACUACUUUGUCCCGUUAAUCUCAGGUUACCGAGUAUUGGAAGAGUUCAGCACGAAUAUCCAUACCUAACCUUAUUGUUGUGUACUUUUUUCUUUUCAUAUUUGUCGAGGUAAGCUAUGUCUUUUUUUAAUAACGUAGAGAAGUGUAAGAGAAAGUGUGUAAGAAAAAAAGCAAAAA